GACGAACGCUGGCGGCGUGCUUAACACAUGCAAGUCGAACGGAAAGGCCUUUUCGGAGGUACUCGAGUGGCGCACGGGUGAGUAACACGUGGGUGAUCUGCCCUGCACUCUGGGAUAAGCCUGGGAAACUGGGUCUAAUACCGGAUAGGACCGCACUUUAGUGUGUGUGGUGGAAAGUUUUUUCGGUGUAGGAUGAGCCCGCGGCCUAUCAGCUUGUUGGUGGGGUAAUGGCCUACCAAGGCGGCGACGGGUAGCCGGACGGAGAGGUUGGUCGGGCACAUUGGGACUGAGAUACGGCCCAGACUCCUACGGGAGGCAGCAGGGGGGAAUAUUGCACAAUGGGCGCAAGCCUGAUGCAGCGACGCCGCGUGGGGGAUGACGGCCUUCGGGUUGUAAACUCCUUUCGCCAGGGACGAAGCGUUUUGUGACGGUACCUGGAGAAGAAGCACCGGCUAACUACGUG
Molecule: ribosomal RNA, 463 nt
Filed under: uncultured bacterium
Lineage: Bacteria
Description: partial 16S ribosomal RNA
Rfam family: Bacterial small subunit ribosomal RNA
Source: RNAcentral